CCUACGGGAGGCUGCAGUGGGGAAUAUUGGACAAUGGGGGGAACCCUGAUCCAGCCAUGCCGCGUGUGUGAAGAAGGCCCUCGGGUUUUAAAGCACUUUCAGUGAGGAAGAACGCCUGGUGGUUAAUACCCAUCAGGAAAGACAUCACUCACAGAAGAAGCACCGGCUAACUCCGUGCCAGCAGCCGCGGUAAUACGGAGGGUGCGAGCGUUAAUCGGAAUUACUGGGCGUAAAGCGCGCGUAGGUGGCUUGAUAAGCCGGUUGUGAAAGCCCCGGGCUCAACCUGGGAACGGCAUCCGGAACUGUCAAGCUAGAGUGCAGGAGAGGAAGGUAGAAUUUCCGGUGUAGCGGUGAAAUGCGUAGAGAUCGGGAGGAAUACCAGUGGCGAAGGCGGCCUUCUAGACUGACACUGACACUGAGGUGCGAAAGCGUGGGUAGCAAACAGGAUUAGAUACCCUGGUAGUC
Molecule: ribosomal RNA, 465 nt
Filed under: Vreelandella stevensii
Lineage: Bacteria; Pseudomonadati; Pseudomonadota; Gammaproteobacteria; Oceanospirillales; Halomonadaceae
Description: partial 16S ribosomal RNA
Rfam family: Bacterial small subunit ribosomal RNA
Source: RNAcentral